RNAcentral lists this ribosomal RNA (528 nucleotides) under uncultured bacterium. RNAcentral's name for it is "bacterial SSU rRNA". It matches the Rfam family "Bacterial small subunit ribosomal RNA", at positions 777 to 1304 of the family's 1533-position model. The record is from RNAcentral.
AAUAGAUACCCGGUAGUCCACACCGUAAACGUUGGGCGCUAGGUGUGGGACUCAUUCCACGAGUUCCGUGCCGCAGCUAACGCAUUAAGCGCCCCGCCUGGGGAGUACGGCCGCAAGGCUAAAACUCAAAGGAAUUGACGGGGGCCCGCACAAGCGGCGGAGCAUGCGGAUUAAUUCGAUGCAACGCGAAGAACCUUACCUAGGUUUGACAUAUACGAGAAGCCUCUAGAGAUAGAGGUCUCUUUGGACACUUGUAUACAGGUGGUGCAUGGCCGUCGUCAGCUCGUGUCGUGAGAUGUUGGGUUAAGUCCCGCAACGAGCGCAACCCUCGUCUUAUGUUGCCAGCACGUAAUGGUGGGGACUCAUAAGAGACUGCCGGGGUCAACUCGGAGGAAGGUGGGGAUGACGUCAAGUCAUCAUGCCCCUUAUGCCUAGGGCUUCACGCAUGCUACAAUGGCUGGUACAAAGGGCUGCGAUACCGCAAGGUGGAGCGAAUCCCAAAAAGCCAGUCUCAGUUCGGAUUGGGGU